This 220-nucleotide unclassified non-coding RNA is filed under the name uncultured Ascomycota. RNAcentral's name for it is "sequence contains ITS2". Lineage: Eukaryota; Fungi; Ascomycota. The record is from RNAcentral.
AACGCACAUUGCGCCUAUUAGUAUUCUAGUAGGCAUGCCUGUUCGAGCGUCAUUUCAGACUCAGACUUCUGAAGCUGGAACAUGUGAUCUCACAGUUCCUAAAUACAAUAACGGAUAUAAUGAUAGCCGGGUGUAGUAAAUCUCGCCUAGGUUUUUCACUACGAUCCAGUAAUCCACAAAUGUUGACCUCGAAUCAGGUAGGAAUACCCGCUGAACUUAA